CUGCAACUACAGUCAAGUGACAACACCUUUCCGUUGAAGCAGUUUCACACGUGCCAGAAACUGCUACACAAUGCCAUAAGCAGCAAAGAAGCUGAGCAGGAGGUGACUUGAAACAGCCAGUCUGAAUGCCAUAUGGGAUUUCCACGUCAGGGUUUCAGCUCUGUUGUGCAUCAACAAGCUUGAACUGGUACCAUGAAGAAAAG
Molecule: long non-coding RNA, 203 nt
Filed under: Gallus gallus (chicken)
Lineage: Eukaryota; Metazoa; Chordata; Aves; Galliformes; Phasianidae
Source: RNAcentral